This 253-nucleotide ribosomal RNA is filed under the name uncultured bacterium. RNAcentral describes it as "partial 16S ribosomal RNA". It matches the Rfam family "Bacterial small subunit ribosomal RNA", at positions 524 to 776 of the family's 1533-position model. The record is from RNAcentral.
UACGGAGGGUGCAAGCGUUAAUCGGAAUUACUGGGCGUAAAGCGUGCGCAGGCGGUUUGUUAAGUCUGCUGUGAAAUCCCCGAGCUCAACUUGGGAAUUGCAGUGGAUACUGGCAAGCUGGAGUACGGUAGAGGAAGGUGGAAUUCCCGGUGUAGCAGUGAAAUGCGUAGAGAUCGGGAGGAACAUCUGUGGCGAAGGCGACUACCUGGACCAGCACUGACACUGAGGCACGAAAGCGUGGGGAGCAAACAGG